GCUAACGUAGCUUAAUUAAAGCAUAGCACUGAAGAUGCUAAGAUGGGCCUUAAAAAGCUCCGCUAGCA
This 68-nucleotide transfer RNA is filed under the name Paracirrhites arcatus (arc-eye hawkfish). RNAcentral describes it as "tRNA-Phe". It matches the Rfam family "tRNA". From Rfam's summary of the family: Transfer RNA (tRNA) molecules are approximately 80 nucleotides in length. Their secondary structure includes four short double-helical elements and three loops (D, anti-codon, and T loops). Lineage: Eukaryota; Metazoa; Chordata; Actinopteri; Centrarchiformes; Cirrhitidae. The record is from RNAcentral.